GAUAAAUUCCAGUGACAUGCAAUUUUUGUAAUGGUAAAAUAUUUGUAAGAAACUGCAAACAAAUGCAAAUGUGCAGUCGAUGUGUGGAAUGCGACAACAUUAUACUCGAUAAUUUCAAUUAUUGCGAGUGUUGUGGCUUAGAAACAAUUAGGCAGUUAAGAAUAAACAAGGCUCGGGCACUAUCAAACCUUUUUCCUAAAAAGCAAAAAGCUGCUUCUGCUGCUUCACAAGAUUUAUUUGAUGACUUUCAGGUUGAUAACGAAGUGUUGACACUAAUCGAGGA
Ostrinia nubilalis (European corn borer) is the source of this 283-nucleotide long non-coding RNA. RefSeq lists it as uncharacterized. The transcript is spliced from 3 exons. Lineage: Eukaryota; Metazoa; Arthropoda; Insecta; Lepidoptera; Crambidae. The record is from RefSeq and is a predicted model, not a curated record.